This 828-nucleotide ribosomal RNA is filed under the name uncultured marine archaeon. RNAcentral's name for it is "bacterial SSU rRNA". It matches the Rfam family "Archaeal small subunit ribosomal RNA", at positions 47 to 873 of the family's 1478-position model. The record is from RNAcentral.
AGCCAUGCGAGUCAUUGUAGUAAUACAAGGCAGACGGCUCAGUAACGCGUAGUCAACCUAACCUAUGGACGGGAAUAACCUCGGGAAACUGAGUAUAAUGCCCGAUAGAACAUUAUGCCUGGAAUGGUUUAUGUUCCAAAUGAUUUAUCGCCGUAGGAUGGGACUGCGGCCUAUCAGUUUGUUGGUGAGGUAAUGGCCCACCAAGACUAUUACAGGUACGGGCUCUGAGAGGAGUAGCCCGGAGAUGGGUACUGAGACACGGACCCAGGCCCUAUGGGGCGCAGCAGGCGAGAAAACUUUGCAAUGUGCGAAAGCACGGCAAGGUUAAUCCGAGUGGUUUCUGCUAAAGGAACCUUUUGUCGGUCCUAGAAACACCGAUGAAUAAGGGGUGGGCAAGUUCUGGUGUCAGCCGCCGCGGUAAAACCAGCGCCUCAAGUGGUCAGGAUGAUUAUUGGGCCUAAAGCAUCCGUAGCCGGCUCUAUAAGUUUUCGGUUAAAUCUGUAUGCUCAACAUACAGGCUGCCGGGAAUACUGCAGAGCUAGGGAGUGGGAGAGGUAGACGGUACUCGGUAAGGAGGGGUAAAAUCCUUUGAUCUAUUGAUGACCCACCUGGGGCGAAAAGCGGUCUACCAAGAACACGUCCCGACGGUGAGGGAAUGAAAGCUUGGGGGAGCAAACCGGGAUUAGAUACCCCGGGUAGUCCCAGCUGUAAACUAUGCAAACUCAGUGAUGCAUUGGCUUGUGGCCAAUGCAGUGCUGCAGGGAAGCCCGUAAGUUUGCCGCCCUGGGAAGUACGUACGCAAGUAUGAAACUUAAAGGAUUGGCGGGG